This 2784-nucleotide long non-coding RNA is filed under the name Sparus aurata (gilthead seabream). RNAcentral describes it as "lncRNA (ENSSAUG00010000173.1)". Lineage: Eukaryota; Metazoa; Chordata; Actinopteri; Spariformes; Sparidae. The record is from RNAcentral.
AGAGACGCGGUCGGUCAAGCAGUACAUACACACACCCUCCAAGUUUUCAGGAUUUUGUGAAAUAAUGCAUUUGAAAAUGUUUUCUAAACUGGAAUGUGUUGGCAUAUGCCAGGGCAAAACGAGUGUACCGUUGACUGCUACAUAGAGUUUAGAUUCUCUGCCCGAGCCUGACCCCGCUGCUAUCCUCAGCUGGGCCAGGCCGGGCUGGGCCCUUCAUCAAGCAUUUGUGCUUUUUUGUUUUUAAUAGCUCAAAAUAAUGACCAUAUUUCCAGCUAGAAAACGCGCAUCUCUCUCCUCCCUCCAUUUUUGUGUUGCUUUGUGGUGUACACGUGAGUUAUCCUCAUGGCUAAAACAUGACUUGAGACGUAGGUGACAUCACUCCCGAGACGCAAGAAGAAAGCAAAAAUAUAUAUUUUUACAAAGGAAAAUGACAAAAAUAAUUGUAAUGCACAGUGACUUGAAUAGAUAACUUUAAUCUGAUCACUGGUUUGGAAAUAUUAACACGUUAGAUUACUCGUUACUGAAAAAAAGUGGUCAGAUUAGAGCAUACCUGUCAACCCUACUGUUUUCCCCGGGAAAUUCUGUUAUUUUAAUCAUCUGUCCUGCCGUCUUCCCGUUUACAUAUUUUCCUUUAAAUCUCCUGUGUUUCCCCUCCAGCCCAGCAGGUGGCAGUACAGUAGUUGUAGCGCCUCAAGUACGCAUGAAGAUUCGUGAGAUUCGGGAUUCAAGCGGUUUCUUAGAACAGUUCUGGAAACAAUGGGCCUGCAGGGGAAGGUCGAGCCCAGCAGGCCAGAAACACGUGGGACCAUUUAAAGAACAAGUACAAAGUAGCUUCAGGAUUGCAGAUAUGCAGGGACAGCAGAGGGUCAGCAGGAGGCCCAGCAAACUCUGAGUCAAAACCUGAACUCUGAGUUGACUUACCCUGUGAAGUGAAACUCUGAGUUUUCAGUUCCAGAACAGCUGAUCUGAGUUAGGUAAUUCGAUUCUGAGUAUGUUAACUCUGAGUUGAGCUCGUGCCUGACAACUAGUAAAAAGCCAUCAACAAUUGAGCUCCGAUACAGUGAUUCACCAUGGCAUCAGGAGAGAAAACAGGAAGCAGACAUUUUCUUGGGGAAAAAAAGUAACACGGCUGCGGCUGUAAUAAAAAUCACUGACAGAGCUUUAGAUGCGGUAGUCUUUUCAUUUUGAAUUUAACAUCACUUUCUUUUAUAUUAGCCUUUGAGGAAGUGGUUGAAUGUUGUUAAAUGUUUUGUUUUAUUUUAUUUUAGGCUGUUCUAUUUUAUUUAAAUCAGCUGAAAAUGACAUAUUGAAAUAGUCUCACGAUGGCUCCUCACUUUGGUUUUAUUUCACAUAUUAAACAAAGGAAAAGUUUAUUCAGUGGAUAUUUUAACUUGUUGUAGCUUUUACCACCAACAGAUAAAUGUUUAACACACAUUUGUCUCCUAACAUCCUGCUGAGUGAUUUAAAAAAAAGAAAAAAAUUAAGAGGAUUGUUCAGAUCUGAGAGCACGUCAGCAAUGACGUGUAGCCUGAUAUUCACUAUGCAGCCGGAGAAUAUAAAUGACGGACUGAUGAGAAGCGGUCUGCUGUUCGGUUCAGUCCUCGUCAGGGAGUGAGAGCUCAUCUAAAUGAAUCUAAAUUCUCCUCCUGGUGUAAAACUAUGUGAAUUAUUUCUGCUUCAACAUGAUCGGACUGAGAAGGAAAGUACAGCCGCUGUCAGACUGCUCCGUCAGACUCAAGGUUUCUUCAGGUAAACCUGCCAGUGAGCAGGUUAUGUUCACAGAGUAAGUUACCACAGUAACAGACCCAGAGUUUAAGUUACCUCUCUUUCUGGAACUGAAAACUCAGAGUUUCUCUCAUCUCAGGGUUAACAAACUCAGAGUUUUCACAAAACCCGCUUUCUGGAAUACCCCCCAGGAAGAGGAGGAUGAAGAUGAUGAUGAGGAGGAGAGCCAGCCAGGGCCGAGGAGGAGGAGGAGGAGGAGAAGGAAAAAGGAGGACAUGAGGCUUUUUGUUAAUGUUGUUGUGUUCUUCUUAAUGUUGUUGUGUUUUUGUUUUUGUGGUUGUGUUUUUGUUAUUGUUGCUGUGUUUUUCUUAACGUGGUUGUGUUUUUGUGGUUGUGUUUUUGUUAAUGUUAUUGGAGGAGGAGGAGGAGGAUGAAGGAGGACAUAAGGCUUUUUGUUAAUGUUGUUGUGUUCUUCUUAAUGUUGUUGUGUUUUUGUUUUUGUGGUUGUGCUUUUGUUAAUGUUGCUGUGUUUUUCUUGAUGUGGUUGUGUUUUUGUUUUUGUUGCUGUGUUUUUCUUAAUGUAGUUGUGUUUUUGUUUUUGUGGUUGUGUUUUUCUUAACCCUCGAGGCACCUUGGGGUACCAAACGUGUACACUCUGCUUUUUUGACGUCUUUGAUUCUCAAUAUAUCGGUCAGUUUAAAUGCUAAAUAUAUGAAACUUGGCCAGGAUUUGUUUUUAUUAAUACUUUUAAAAUUCCAUGAUCCCCUCUAUUGUAAGGUGUAUAGAUUAGGAGAUUCGCAUGCACUCUUUCACCUCGGGCCCGAUUUGGACACAUUGACUCCCAUUAUAACCACAUAUUUUUGAUAUACUGUAUUCCUGACAUAUUAUAAUGCUUUUCCCAUGAAUACCUAAUAAAUCUAAGCCUCUGCCUUCAAAAUACAGGGAAAACAGGUUUAAGGUCUGAUGACCCCCCUCAGCAGCAGAGCUUUAUCACAUACAGUUUCAAUGGAGGCCUGGUUCUCUUACUUUGCAAAAUGCAUGGCAAUAAAAACACUGAAC